Astatotilapia calliptera (eastern happy) is the source of this 639-nucleotide long non-coding RNA. NCBI's taxonomy places the organism in Eukaryota, Metazoa, Chordata, Actinopteri, Cichliformes, Cichlidae. The record is from Ensembl.
GGAGCUGUAGUAUAAGAAUGUUUGGAAUGUCAUACUGUUUGUGGGGUUGUUGUUUUUUCACGUUAACCCGGUUUUCUCGAAGCAGCAAGUGACUGACAAUGGAGCACGAUUAAUCUACAUCAGGAACAUCUCGCCAGGCGAGUCCCGGCAUCUCAGAGAAGCUUUGAAAAAAAUGGAUUGUGUAAGAAACUACCUGCCUCUUCUCAACAAGGUGUUUAUCGAAUUUCAGUCUCUUCGUGAUGCUGAUCGCCUUGGCGUUUGGUACAGCCUUCUAAAACGGCCCACCGGCCACAAAUUGUCAAGGCUGAAAAUACCACAGUGUGGAUGUACCUCACUGCAAAGCCCAAUCUCAAGGUUCUACGUUCUCCACCAUCAUGUUGACCGGUUUGCCAGAAGGAAACUACAGACAGGAGGAUGUCACCAAGCUGGUGUGGCGUUACGUCCCUGAUCAGACUGUUCAGACUCUGUACUACAAAAUAAUCGUUUUAUCACUGCAGAGGAGGGCCUUUGUGUUUUUUAACAGCUGGGAUGCGUGCUGCGAUUUCGCCAGGGAUUACCUCAAAAAUCCAGUUACUGUUGGAGAGUGGACGCUCAGAAUCCACAUUGUUUUACAAGACAUGCUUCCUGGUACAAGUGAGG